UCCUACGGGGCGCAGCAGUGGGGGAUAUUGCACAAUGGGGGAAACUCUGAUGCAGCGACGCCGCGCGAGGGAAGACGUACUUCGGAUUGUAAACCUCUAUCUUUGGGGAAGAAAAUGACGGUACCCAACUAAGAAGCUCCGGCUAACUACGUGCCAGCAGCCGCGGUAAUACGUAGGGGGCGAGCGUUAUCCGGAUUUACUGGGUGUAAAGGGAGCGUAGACGGUCCAGCAAGUUAGAUGUUAAAUC
Molecule: ribosomal RNA, 247 nt
Filed under: uncultured bacterium
Lineage: Bacteria
Description: partial 16S ribosomal RNA
Rfam family: Bacterial small subunit ribosomal RNA
Source: RNAcentral